CUACGGGGCGCUCCAGUGGGGAAUAUUGCACAAUGGGCGCAAGCCUGAUGCAGCCAUGCCGCGUGUAUGAAGAAGGCCUUCGGGUUGUAAGUACUUUCAGCGGGGAGGAAGGGAGUAAAGUUAAUACCUUUGCUCAUUGACGUUACCCGCAGAAGAAGCACCGGCUAACUCCGUGCCAACAGCCGCGGUAAUACGGAGGGUGCAAGCGUUAAUCGGAAUUACUGGGCGUAAAGCGCACGCAGGCGGUUUGUUAAGUCAGAUGUGAAAUCCCCGGGCUCAACCUGGGAACUGCAUCUGAUACUGGCAAGCUUGAGUCUCGUAGAGGGGGGUAGAAUUCCAGGUGUAGCGGUGAAAUGCGUAGAGAUCUGGAGGAAUACCGGUGGCGAAGGCGGCCCCCUGGACGAAGACUGACGCUCAGGUGCGAAAGCGUGGGGAGCAAACAGGAUUAGAUACCCUUGUAGUC
Molecule: ribosomal RNA, 463 nt
Filed under: uncultured bacterium
Lineage: Bacteria
Description: partial 16S ribosomal RNA
Rfam family: Bacterial small subunit ribosomal RNA
Source: RNAcentral